GGAGUUGGCUAUCGCAACUGCUUUCUACACCAUCAAUGUAACAGAUGCUGAGGAUGGUGUUGCUGAUCAGACAAUAGUUGCCAUUUCUAAUACUACUACACUUUCCGAGUUGCUUACUGUAGCAACUAAUCUUUCCUCAGACACAUUUUCUUCUGCAAGUGCCGAUAGUAUUGUUACUAAGCUAUCUAAUCUUGCUUCUGAUCAGAAUCUGACUUCUUCUGAUGUGGAUGAUAGUA
Corticium candelabrum is the source of this 236-nucleotide long non-coding RNA. RefSeq lists it as uncharacterized. NCBI's taxonomy places the organism in Eukaryota, Metazoa, Porifera, Homoscleromorpha, Homosclerophorida, Plakinidae. The transcript has 3 exons. The record is from RefSeq and is a predicted model, not a curated record.